AAUCAACGCUGGCGGCGUGCCUCAGACAUGCAAGUCGAACGAUUAAAGCUCUCUUCGGAGAGUGUAUAGAGUGGCGCACGGGUGAGUAAUACGUAAGUAAUCUACCCUCGAGUGGGGAAUAACAACCGGAAACGGUUGCUAAUACCGCAUAAUGCAGCGGCACCGCAAGGUGACAGUUGUUAAAGAUUUAUCGCUUGAGGAGGAGCUUGCGGCAGAUUAGCUAGUUGGUAGGGUAACGGCUUACCAAGGCUACGAUCUGUAACCGGUCUAAGAGGACGGUCGGUCACACUGACACUGAAUAGCGGGUCAGACUCCUACGGGAGGCAGCAGUCGGGAAUUUUGGGCAAUGGGCGAAAGCCUGACCCAGCAACGCCGCGUGAAGGAUGAAGUAUUUCGGUAUGUAAACUUCGAAAGAAUAGGAAGAAUUAAUGACGGUACUAUUUAUAAGGUCCGGCUAACUACGUG
RNAcentral lists this ribosomal RNA (465 nucleotides) under uncultured bacterium. RNAcentral's name for it is "bacterial SSU rRNA". It matches the Rfam family "Bacterial small subunit ribosomal RNA", at positions 32 to 507 of the family's 1533-position model. The record is from RNAcentral.